AUUGAACGCUGGCGGCAGGCUUAACACAUGCAAGUCGAGCGAGCGGCGGACGGGUGAGAAAUGUCUGGGAAACUGCCUGAUGGAGGGGGAUAACUACUGGAAACGGUAGCUAAUACCGCAUACCAUCAGAUGUGCCGAGAUGGGAUUAGCUAGUAGGUGGGGUAAUGGCGCACCUAGGCGACGAUCCCUAGCUGGUCUGAGAGGAUUACCAGCCACACUGGAACUGAGAGACGGUCCAUACUCCUACGGGAGGCAGCAGUGGGGAAUGUGGCACAAUGGGCGCAAGCCGGGUGCAGCCAUGCCGCGUGUGUGAAGAAGGCCUUCGGGUUGUAAAGCACUUUCAGCGAGGAGGCGUUACUCGCAGAAGAAGCACCGGCUAACUCCGUGCCAGCCGCCGCGGUAAUAC
RNAcentral lists this ribosomal RNA (406 nucleotides) under uncultured bacterium. RNAcentral's name for it is "partial 16S ribosomal RNA". It matches the Rfam family "Bacterial small subunit ribosomal RNA", at positions 30 to 526 of the family's 1533-position model. The record is from RNAcentral.